GAAGAGUCAGGAGGUCAGGUGGUUUGUAUAAGGUCACCGAACAGGUGAGUCUCAGAUUCGGGACUAAGAUCCACCCCGCCCUAGUCCCCGUCCCCUCUGGCUUCACAUCCUUUGCUGUUUCCAGGAGCCAGGCACCUUCCUGGGUGUCAGGAACACAGCCGUGAACAAGAUCAACAAAAUCUCGGCUUUUGUGGACAUCCUAGUGGGGGAAUGUGGAUGAACAAAUGAGUCACAACGGUCACUCUGGAAGUUUCCCUUACAACAUAAAUUUCCGACGAAAUCCAAGAAAGCAGUGGACCAGAUGAAGAGACUGAGGCUCAGAGAGGCUGAGUGACCCGAGUUUGCAGGUGACCAGCGACAUCCCUUGAGCUCAGACUAGACUCAGUUGCCUCUCUUGU
Molecule: long non-coding RNA, 398 nt
Organism: Balaenoptera musculus (blue whale)
Lineage: Eukaryota; Metazoa; Chordata; Mammalia; Artiodactyla; Balaenopteridae
Exons: 3
Source: RefSeq, a predicted model, not a curated record